Long non-coding RNA from Myiozetetes cayanensis, 242 nucleotides. RefSeq lists it as uncharacterized. Lineage: Eukaryota; Metazoa; Chordata; Aves; Passeriformes; Tyrannidae. The record is from RefSeq and is a predicted model, not a curated record. The transcript has 3 exons.
CCACAAAUGGGCCCUGCUUGCAGCACUUCAGCAAUUCAGCAGGAAAGGACCAGGAUGAGAACCACAGAAUAUGCUGAGUUGGAAGGGACUCACAAGGAUCACUGAGUCCAACUCUUAGCCCUGCACAGGACCAUCCCCAAGAGUCACACCAUGUGCCUGAGAGUAUCAGAACUCAAGAAGUAUGUUGCAGAUGAGUGAAGUGUUUCUUGGGAUUUGACGUUGCUGUACUGCAUAUGAUGAAA